UACGUAGGUGGCAAGCGUUGUCCGGAAUGACUGGGCGUAAAGGGAGCGUAGGUUGUUGUUUAAGUUAAAUGUGAAAGCCCGUGGCUCAACUACGGAAUUGCAUUUAAUACUGGAUAACUAGAGUGCAGGAGGGGUAAGCGGAAUUCCUAGUGUAGCGGUGGAAUGCGUAGAUAUUAGGAAGAACACCAGAGGCGAAGGCGGCUUACUGGACUGUAACUGACACUGAGGCUCGAAAGCGUGGGGAGCAAACAGG
Molecule: ribosomal RNA, 253 nt
Filed under: uncultured bacterium
Lineage: Bacteria
Description: partial 16S ribosomal RNA
Rfam family: Bacterial small subunit ribosomal RNA
Source: RNAcentral